GAACGCUGGCGGCAGGCUUAACACAUGCAAGUCGAGCGGUAACAGGGGGUGCUUGCACCCCGCUGACGAGCGGCGGACGGGUGAGUAAUGCUUAGGAAUCUGCCCAGUAGUGGGGGAUAGCCCGGGGAAACCCGGAUUAAUACCGCAUACGUCCUACGGGAGAAAGCAGGGGAUCUUCGGACCUUGCGCUAUUGGAUGAGCCUAAGUCGGAUUAGCUAGUUGGUGGGGUAAAGGCCUACCAAGGCCACGAUCCGUAGCUGGUUUGAGAGGAUGAUCAGCCACAUCGGGACUGAGACACGGCCCGAACUCCUACGGGAGGCAGCAGUGGGGAAUAUUGGACAAUGGGGGCAACCCUGAUCCAGCCAUGCCGCGUGUGUGAAGAAGGCUUUCGGGUUGUAAAGCACUUUCAGUGAGGAGGAAAACCUUACGGUUAAUAACCGUGAGGCUUGACGUUACUCACAGAAGAAGCACCGGCUAACUCCGUGCCAGCAGCCGCGGUAAUACGGAGGGUGCAAGCGUUAGUCGGAAUUACUGGGCGUAAAGCGCGCGUAGGUGGUUCGAUAAGCGGGAUGUG
Molecule: ribosomal RNA, 574 nt
Filed under: uncultured bacterium
Lineage: Bacteria
Description: bacterial SSU rRNA
Rfam family: Bacterial small subunit ribosomal RNA
Source: RNAcentral